CGCACAGUAAACGAUGUGCACUAGGUGUCGGGCAGUCAAUGUUCGGUACCGCAGCAAACGCGUUAAGUGCACCGCCUGGGGAGUAUGCCCGCAAGGGUGAAACUCAAAGGAAUUGACGGGGGCCUGCACAAGCGGUGGAGCAUGUGGUUUAAUUCGAUGAUACGCGAGAAACCUUACCAGGACUUGACAUGGACAGGAAUGGUCGUGAAAGCGAUCAGCUUUUCGGAGUCUGUUCACAGGUGC
This 243-nucleotide ribosomal RNA is filed under the name uncultured Spirochaetaceae bacterium. RNAcentral's name for it is "partial 16S ribosomal RNA". It matches the Rfam family "Bacterial small subunit ribosomal RNA", at positions 796 to 1041 of the family's 1533-position model. The record is from RNAcentral. Lineage: Bacteria; Pseudomonadati; Spirochaetota; Spirochaetia; Spirochaetales; Spirochaetaceae.